CAAUAAUUAGGCUAAUUCGCAACUUUCUAUUUUUAAAUCUUGAUGUUGGCACUAUGCAAUAGAAAUGUGGACAAUCAGGGUGUAUUUGUGCGCUUAGCAUCCUGCAGAUAACUAUGAACUAUGUUUGCUAAAAGAGUUGCUGAUUUUUUUUCACCACAUAAAUCUCGACAACUCUGCGUUUUCAUGUACUAGAACUAAUCAUGUUUCUUACUUUGUAUGCACAUCCAUAUUAAUCAUGUCUAUAA
This 245-nucleotide long non-coding RNA is filed under the name Hordeum vulgare. Its description in RNAcentral is "long non-coding RNA (HVUL_LNC005187)". The record is from RNAcentral. Lineage: Eukaryota; Viridiplantae; Streptophyta; Magnoliopsida; Poales; Poaceae.